UGGGGGAUAUUGCACAAUGGGCGAAAGCCUGAUGCAGCAACGCCGCGUGAGGGAAGACGGUUUUCGGAUUGUAAACCUCUGUCUUCGGUGAAGAAACAAAUGACGGUAGCAGAGGAGGAAGCCACGGCUAACUACGUGCCUGCAGCCGCGGUAAUUCGUAGGUGGCGAGCGUUGUCCGGAAUUACUAGGCGUAAAGGGCAGGCAGGCGGAUCAGUAAGUCGGACGUUUAAUCCUCGGUCUUAAGCUGAGACAUGCGUUUGAUACUGUUGAUCUAGAAUGCGGCGGGGGAAGACGGAAUUCCGGGUGUAGCGGUGGAAUGCGCAGAUAUCCGGGGGAACACCGAAGGCGAAGGCAGUCUUCCAUACCGUAAUUGACGCUGAACUGCGAAGGUGUGGGGAUCAAACA
RNAcentral lists this ribosomal RNA (405 nucleotides) under uncultured prokaryote. RNAcentral describes it as "bacterial SSU rRNA". It matches the Rfam family "Bacterial small subunit ribosomal RNA", at positions 355 to 774 of the family's 1533-position model. The record is from RNAcentral.